GACGAACGCUGGCGGCGUGCUUAACACAUGCAAGUCGAACGAGGACCAGGGUGCUUGCACCCUGUAGCCGAGUGGCGAACGGGUGAGUAACACGUGACCAACCUAGCCUGGAGUGGGGGACAACCUGGGGAAACCCGGGCUAAUACCGCAUACGGCCCCAUGGUCGCAUGGCCGUGGGAUGAAAGGAGGCCUCUGCUUGCAAGCUUUCGCUCGAGGGGGGGUCGCGGCGUAUCAGCUAGUUGGUGGGGUAACGGCCCACCAAGGCGACGACGCGUAGCGGGUCUGAGAGGACGACCCGUCACAUUGGGACUGAGAUACGGCCCAGACUCCUACGGGAGGCAGCAGUGGGGAAUAUUGCGCAAUGGCCGAAAGGCUGACGCAGCGACGCCGCGUGUGGGAGGACGCCCUUCGGGGUGUAAACCACUGUCAGAAGGGAAGAACUUCGGGCUUUUGAAUACAGAGCUCGGUUGACGGUACCUUCAGAGGAAGCGCCGGCUAACUCCGUG
Molecule: ribosomal RNA, 506 nt
Filed under: uncultured bacterium
Lineage: Bacteria
Description: bacterial SSU rRNA
Rfam family: Bacterial small subunit ribosomal RNA
Source: RNAcentral